This 5731-nucleotide long non-coding RNA is filed under the name Pan paniscus (pygmy chimpanzee). Its description in RNAcentral is "lncRNA (ENSPPAG00000044301.1)". The record is from RNAcentral. Lineage: Eukaryota; Metazoa; Chordata; Mammalia; Primates; Hominidae.
AGUGGAUUGGGGCCAGGGAUGCUUCUAAAUACCCUACAGUGCACAGGCCAGACCCCACAGUGAAGUGUCUUCCAGUCCAAAAUGUCGGUAGCAGCACCCCAAGAAACCCCGCUCUGCAGCCAGAAUAUGCACCCUGCACCCUACGCUCCUCCCGCCUCCACUGCCGUGGCCCGGCCAGACCCACGUCUCCGCUGGCCUGAGUGACUGCAAUGGCCUCUUCCACUCUUGCCCUCCAGCAGACUGGUUUCCACCACGCAGCCAGCAGUGCCUUCCUUCCUUCCUUCCUUUCUUUCUUUCUUUCUCUCUUUCUUUCUUUCUUUCCUUCUCUCUUUCUUUCUUUCCUUUUUCGUUAAUAACUUCGUAUAGCAUACNNNNNNNNNNNNNNNNNNNNNNNNNNNNNNNNNNNNNNNNNNNNNNNNNNNNNNNNNNNNNNNNNNNNNNNNNNNNNNNNNNNNNNNNNNNNNNUCUCUCUUUCUUUCUUCCUUUUUUUUUUUCGAGAUGGAGUCUUGCUCUGUCACCCAGGCUGGAGUGCAGUGGUGUGAUCUUGGUUCACUGCAACCUCCGCCUCCUGUGUUCGAGCGAUUCUCCUGCCUCAGCCUCUUGAGUAGCUGGGAUUACAGGCGCGUGCCACCAUGCCCAGCUAAUUUUUUUUGUAUUUUUAGUGGAGAUGGGAUUUCAUCAUGUUGGUCAGGCUGGUCUCGAACUCCUGACCUCGUGAUCCGCCCGCCUUGGCCUCCCAAAGUGCUGAGAUUACAGGCAUGAGCCACGGCGCCCAGCCAGCAGUGCCUUUCUAAAGCAUGAGAUCCUGCCCUUCCCCAGCCUAAAACCUUCUGGUGGCUUUCCCAUGAGAACUGAACUCAUCCCUGGCCAACAAGGCUCCAGACAGUCCCUGCUGCCCAUCACCCUCCAGGCUCAGUCUCGGGCAUGGCUGUCCUGGCCGCUCUCUCGUCCCUUGUUGGGGGACUUUGCUCUUGCCAUCCCAUGGGCUUAGCAUGCUCCUCCCAGACCUCAAUGCACCUCCUCAUCUCUCAGGUCUCUGGUCCCAUGACCCAACCUCAGGAAGCUGGGGGUGCGGUGGGCGGGCUGUGGCCCAGGGCGGGUUUGGGGCUGUGGUUUGUGACUCAGCGCUGGUUCACUUCUCUGCACUGGGGUGUGGUGGGGGUGAUGCUGCUUUUAGUCAAAGCAGCUACAAAACUCCGAGAGCAAGUCGGCCGUUUUCUACAUCUGGGCCGGCCGGGCUCCUUCUCGGAUUUAUCGCAGGCGGGCAGCCGCUGACCCCUCCCUUUGCUAUUGGAGGUGGCUGCCCCGCCCCAGAGGCGCUCCUGCCACCCGCCCCUCCGAGGGGGGUGCCUCCAGCCACUUGUCCACAGCCUCGGGAGUCCCCACAGCAGAGGCAGCCGUGGGAGGAACAUGGAAACAGAGCAAGGGGAGGGACAGGAGCUCUCAGCCCUGCCUGCAGGAGCGCCCAGAGACACGCAUCACAGAACUGGGUCAGGGUGCUAGGGAUCCAGGACAGGAGGGCCUCGCAGAUGCCCAGAAGGUUCGGAGGAAGCAGCUGCAGUUUCCGGAAUGUGCCAGGCUCCCUGAUGCUUCUGAGCGUCUGCAAGUGUGGCCCCCCUGCCUGAAACACCCCCACCCUCCUGCUGGUCUGGCCACCUCCCAGUCAGCCUUGUCCAGUUACCUUUUCCUGCCUCACUUCCCCACAGAGCGAGCGUGGCUCCUCUCAGCUCUCCCAGCCCCGAACCCUUGGGCCUCUAGUUUGGCAGCUGUCACACGAGCUACAGUCACGACUGGUCUGUCACCCAUUGCAGACGGGGCUCCUGGAAGGGUGAUGCUAUGGCUCCCCCGGCCUCUAGCACGGGGCCCAGCACAGAAUGGGAGCUGAGGAAAUGUUUGCAGCAAGAGAUAAAACUGCUUCACAGUGUGUGUUAUGAGUUGAACUGUUUCCCCCAAAAAGAUAUGUUGAAGUCUUAUGACCUGAAUUGUGUUUCUCCAAAAUCCAUAUGUUGAAGCCCUAACCCCUGUACCUCAGGAUGUGACUGCAUUUGGAGAAAGGGCCUUUAAAGAAGUAGUGUAAUUAAGUUAAAAUGAGGUCAUGUGGGUGGGCUGUAAUCCCAUCUGCCUGGAGUCCUUACGAGAAGGGAAGAUAUGGACAUAGCCAUGCCCGGAGGAAAGGCCAGGUGAAGACACAGGGAGGAGACGUUCCUCUGCAAGCCAAGGAGAGAAGCCUCGGAAGAAACCAGCCCUGCGGACCCCUUGGUCGUGGACUUCCAGCUUCCAGAACUGGGAGAAAUGCAUUUCUAUUGUUUAAGCCCCUGGGUCUGCAGUACUUUGUUAUAGCAAUCCCGCAAACGAAUACAAAGUCCUAACCCCCGGUGCCUCCGAAGGACCCUUAUUUGGAACUAGGGUCAUUGCCGAUGUGAUAAGUUAAGAUGAUGUCAUACUGGAGUAGGGUGGGCCCUGAUCCAAUAUGAAUGUAUCCUUAUAAAAAGGGGAAAUUUUGACACACACACACACACAGGGAGACCGCCACGUGGACACGAAGGCAGAGAUUGAGCUGAUGCAUCUAGAAGCCCAGGAAUGCCAAAGGUGGCCAGAAAACCACCCAGAGCUGGGGAGGCCUGGAAUAGAGUCUCCGUCAGAGCCCCAGCAGGAACCAUCCCUGCUCACACCUUGAUCAGAGACUUUUGGCCUGCAGAACUGCAAGGCAGUGAAUUUCUAUUGUUUCAAGCCACCUAGUUUGUGGUACUUUGUUAGGGCAGCUCUGGCAAACUAACAGAAUAUGGGAGAUUAAAAUAUCAUCCCACUACAAGUUCAUCCCAACAAGGGGUUCUGCCGGCGGCAGCACAAAGCUACCAUGAAAACACCUAAUUAUGAGAAAUGAGCUCCCAGACCCCCCUGCCCGUCACUCCCUGAUCUUAUCAACUUCUGCCCCGUCCACUCGCACGGACAACUGGUUUACCUGUCUGUGUCGCCCCCAAGCCAGCCACCCCCAGAACCAUGCUCUGCCCAUUGCUGGGCUCAGUAAAUACUCUCACUUGCGGCUAAAUCACCCAUCCAGAAUCAUACUCUGCUCCCUGAAAUCCCAGACCCAGGCUGCACUGAGCCCUCCCACACGGGUACAAGAGCACAUUUAGACCAAAUUUCAGCAGGUCCAGGAAGGCCCUGGAUGCCAAAGUUUGCACCUUCUGGUGCUUCCCGACAUGCCACCCAUGGCUGACUUGCAUUCUCUGCCUUGGCUGGUACCUGUCCAGCUGCACACCUGAUAUGCCCCAGCUCUAAAUAAGGAGAGGAACUAAACCCAGCACUGCCCUGUGGCAAGCUGUGGAGAAGGAAUGGGAGUGGGUGGAGACAUACCUUCCUGCUCCAUGGACGUGUGGUUAGGAAACACCAUUCCCGGCCAGGAGCAGAAGCUGGGCUGGGGUGAGCCGAAGUCUCGGCCAAGACUCCUUGACCUUUAGGGAGUGCCUGAGAUGCUACACAGCCAACAAGCUGCUGGGCCAGGGACAGUUGCAGAACCAGGAUUGGCCUACUUUAGCCCCCUGCCCAGGGCUCGAAUCCCCUCUGCAGUCUCCCUGCUUAGGGGACACCACUGUGUUUGAACACCUCAGCUGAUAUGGGACUGCUGGCAUCUUUCCUGCCUGGACCUGAGAAUGGCUGGCCAAGGCUGAGGCUUGGAGCGGCUCAUUCCCUUCCAAACUUGCCCAUAUCCGUGCAGUGGGCCACAGUUCCUGUCUGGGAGCCCCCCACUCCUGCAGGUCCUCCUCAGCAGCCUUCCCCAUGGCUCUAUGUAAAAUUUCACCCCCACCCCUUUUUCCUGCCAUAUUUCUCUUCUUGUCACUUUCCACCCUCUAAGUCUUGUUUGUGCAUUUAACUGAUAGCUUUUGGUCACCGUCUGUCUCCUCCCGUAGAGAGGCCGCCCUGGGAGGGAGGGUUUAUUUGGGGGCUCGGGGUUGCUACAGCAGGCACCAAGUCAGCAGCUGUGGCCUGACCGAAUAGGAGAGAGGCUGGAGUGUUAAGCGGAGGCGUUUCUGCAGUGGGGCCACAACCACGCAGGGCUGGCUGGAGGGGGCUGGGCGGGGGUCCUGCAGGGAGGUGAUGGGUCCCGGUAGCUGCGCCGGGUCUCCUGCAGAAGAGGUUGCAUUUCAGAUCCGUGAGCUUCCCCUCAUUCCACACACUGGCUUCCUCCACUUCUUUUUCCUCCCCUGGGAAUAAUUGGAAAAAUGAUUCCUAAGCUGUCAGGAGAAAAUAAAGGAACCAUAGCGACCGAUUCGCAGCCUCUCCUAAAUCAGCCAAAUGAGAAAUAGAUUUGGAACCACCUCUGGAGGGGGCGGCUAACAUCUCCAGGAAGGCGACAACCAUAGAUUUGUGUUUCAGCAGGCGGGGAGGGGCAAGGCUGGGGGUAAGCUGCCGAAAGCCCGCCUCAGCCACCCGCUGCGCUUCCAGUCCCUUCCCUGGCUCAGGGCUGGCUAGAAAGACAGAGACGUUUCAUGCUGGCAGGCGUUCCACACCCAUUCCCUCACUUCUCUGGAAAUAGCCCCGGGAAGUAGGCAAUGUUACUGACUCCGUGUCACAGACCAGGAAAUGCAGACCUGCCUUGGCCGCAGAGCUACUUCAUGGGAGGGGGAUGGAGCCAGUUCUCACGCUGACAUUGGCCUGGUCCCCACAACUGUGCCUUUUCUGUUGUGUCCCCAGAAUUUUAACAUUCUCCAGCCAGACACAGGCCAAGACCGACAAUGCUUCACUUGGUGAAGACCAUUUUCUGUUCCUCCAGCAGCCUCCGUGACCUCGGGUGGGCCAUUCGGUCAAGUAAUCCUGAAUUUACCUCCCAGUGACAUUGUGUCUUUGAGUCAUCAUCAGGCUUCUUUCAGGGCAGACCCACGGGACUGUGUAGAAAAGGGCUUGAAGGAGGAGAUUUGUGACGGAGCCCCUGGUGCUGUCAAAGUCAAAUAAAAUAUACGGACAAAUCUCUAAGUUUAAAAUGUUUUAUUUGGGGAGCAAGAAUUUCAGUUUGGGGCAUACACACAGACUGGGUGGUCUUCAGUAUGUCCAAAGAGCAAAGAGAAGGUUGUAGGUUUCAUAAAAAUGAGAAAUGGUAUGGAUUGUUAGGAAAGCAAGUUCAUUAGCACUAGCAACGUUUUGGGGAUCCGGCAAGCUCUGAUUGGUGAGUGGGUGAAAUUAGUCUUAGAUUUCCGCAGGUUGUUUCUGUAGCUAUUAGAUCAAACCGGUUUCAGGUUGCAACACUUGUUCCAGCAGCCAGGGUUGGAGACAGUUAUACUCUUGGAGCAAUGUUACGUGGUCCAAGUGCUUUUUCCCGUGGUCUCAACUCUGCUUGGCUAUGACAACAGUGUCCUUUGUAUGAUCAACUUUCACAGUGGCCACAGGAGGAGACAGAUUUGAGCCCAUGCCCAUGCCUUCUGGCUGGCUUUCUCUCCCUUGCUCCUAGCAGGGCAAUGCAGGGUGAGUGACAGAAGUGGACUCAGCUACAGGCAACAUCGAGUGAUCUAGGUUCGAAAUAUGGCACUUUAUCUGUUGUCUUAUCAACAUAAAGAUACAGCGCUUUGAAAUUUUGUCGAAUUCAGGUUUGAGCAACCUGAUGCAGAAAUUCCUGGGUCAGGGACUCCAGGGCGGGGAGUUGGAGGGGUGAGCUGGCUGCAAAGUCUCUGGUCAAUGUGGGUUCUGGAAAAGAAAGAAAGACGGAAGGGAGUCUCCUCACUUCACCUCUCUGGUC